GGUGGGUGUGCGUCUCUCUGUUUCUUGAUUUCGACACUUAAAAGUGCAGCAGUAAAGCAAAUGUAAAGCUCUUCACCAAAGGGACCUAACCAACCAACUCUACAUUUACUCCCAACUAAAAUCACCAACCUUCAUUUGUAACACAUCUGAACCCACAUUGAUGAUCCCACAUUGAUGAUGAUGAUUCAUUUACAAAGGAACUCAUCAACUGCAGUGCAGAGGAAGAGUCAAGUUCCUGAUGGCUGAACAUUUCCGGUCAUCGCUCCAACUACGAGCCUCUCCUUUGCUUGGUGCUUC
RNAcentral lists this unclassified non-coding RNA (297 nucleotides) under Hevea brasiliensis (rubber tree). Lineage: Eukaryota; Viridiplantae; Streptophyta; Magnoliopsida; Malpighiales; Euphorbiaceae. The record is from RNAcentral.